Molecule: long non-coding RNA, 18003 nt
Filed under: Ananas comosus (pineapple)
Lineage: Eukaryota; Viridiplantae; Streptophyta; Magnoliopsida; Poales; Bromeliaceae
Description: long non-coding RNA (ACOM_LNC002842)
Rfam family: tRNA (bases 14456-14527)
Source: RNAcentral
AAAAAAAAAAAAAAAAAAAAAGCUAAGAGAAUAAUGCAAAUGAGAAGCACUUUUUUCCCACGCACUUAUUAAGGUCCACCCCACCGCAUUUUAAGGCUCAAUCCGAAUCGUCCAUCAUCGUAAACUUUACUUGCAUUGUAGUCCAAAAAUACAUGCAAACACCUCAACUUCAUAGAUUUAACAGUGUUCUUUUUUAUCACGAGACCAAGCACAAACUAUAUAAUACAAUAGCAGGUUUUUCAAUCUAGUGCUCAACUCACUGCUUUCUCAAAAUGUUACAAUUAACAUAUGGAGAAAGCAAGAGUUGAGCACUAUACGUCCCAUUUGGGUUUAAAGAAGGAAGAGCAAAUGCAACAGAAUCUUAAUUGUUUAAAACCAAAUUUCCAGUAACUUCGACUCAGGAAUGGAAAAGCAAAGUGAAAGCAUAAAUUCAUUUUGACCAUAGACUCAAACCAUAAUGGUGCCAAGAUUCAUAAACAAUGUAUCAAUAAAUAAAAGGGAAAACUUCAAAAACCCCCCCUGUGGUUUCGUGCAGUCUCACUUUGCUACCCUGUGGUUUAAAACGUAUCAAUUUGUCCCCCUGUGAUUUCGUUUUUAUCUUUUUGUUAUCAAUUUUAUUAUUUUUUUUUUUUAAAUCAGUGACAAAGUUAAAAUUAAAGGAUACUAAAGUGACUAUUCGAUAAAUAUAGAUGGUUAUCUGAAGUUUUUUGUAUAUAAUUUAACGAAAUAUUAACGAAAAAGCUUCCGAAAAGAUAAAAAUAAAACCACAGGGGGGUAAAUUGAUACGUUUUAAACCACAGGGUAGCAAAGUGAGAAUGCACGAAACCACAGGGGGGUUUUUUGAAGUUUUCCCUAAAUAAAAUAUAAGCUUUCAAAGGGUACACAAAGCCAUACAACACAAGUCAAUCCCAGAAGUCAUGCAUUGGUAGAAAAAGUCGAUUGCAUAUUCUUCCUGCAGAUCUGUGUAUCACGUCCCCGAAAAGAAGUCCUGCAAAACAAAUUGCUCGCGAAAUGAUAAAAGAUGAGAAGCAUAAGUGCAAUAAAAGAAAAGGCAAAAAGGGGAUGUUUUGAAAGGAGAAAAGACAUGGUCAGAGUAAAUGGGCCAGCGCAAAUGCGGCUUUCUGCGAAAACAAGCAAGAUUUUAUGCUGUGGAAUACACUGCUUUCGGUCAAGCAACAAUCGCAAGCUUAAUGCAUACUCCUAGUUUAUCUUAUGAUUCCUACUGCUAGUUCCAAUCUGAUUUAGCCAGGUAUAUCCUCUCGUAAAGUAUCUGAAUAAUCUUUUUGGGUGAAAAAAUUAGUUAGCCUUUCCCUUUUGUUCUCUUAUAUAUGCCUUACUCUUCCAAACACAGAUCCCAGCUAGCUGCAAGCAGAGUAAAGAUCAAGAGCCAAAUGAAAAUUGGAAGCCCACAAAGAAAGCUUCAAACUAUGGUUGACGAUAAUACACUGCGACUCAAAUCAAUCAAAUCCGAUCGACAAUACAAGUUUAAACAAUAUACUAGCCAAAUCCAAUUUAGCAGGCUUUCUCGCUGGUCCAAUCUACUUAGCAUUCUUUAAGAAAAGCAAACAGCCGAGCAAAAAAUAGAGAACAUAGUUAAGAACAUAGCUAAUAGGAAGAGAGAAGUACAAAACAGAAAGUGGACUGGCAAGAAAAGCUUAUAUAUUAGAUAGGCCAUCAAAGUGUGGAUUAUUGAAUAUGUGGAUUUUGCGCGGCAACAAAACAUUGUAAAUUGGUAGCAUAUUUCCCCUGCUUGUCUUUUUUCUGAAAAAAAAAUGAGUUUGUAAGAUAACCAAGUAAUAACCAAAAUAAAGAAGCUUAUCCAUCGGCAAGCUCAAUCACAUAAACUAUGAGUUAGAAAAGAAAGCACAAAUAGCAAUGAGUAGCCAAACUAGGCCUUCCAUAGCAGCUGUGUUGCUUGCUUUCAACUUUUAAUGUUUUGUAUAAGUACAUAAAGGUACUUACCAAAAUAAGCCACCAUUAGCUACAUUCAGCCAGAUGCAGGACAUCAGUUGUCAGGUACCAUAGGUGGGACCAGGAGUUGAUAGAGGUGCACCGUAGGAAUAUCUCCACUGACCACAUGCGGAGCAUUUAUCCACUUUAAUGCUGUUCUCCAAAGUACAGAAUUUACAUGACCACAUCUUAAACUUGGAUCCGGCAGCUUUAGGUUUUGCUGUGCCACAAGCUUCGCAGAUUGGUGACAGUGGCUGUAAACCAUCCAGCGUAAGUCAAAACAAAGUUAGUCAUUCUAUUAGUUGCCCAUGGUGAUAGUAACAGACGUGGGAAAAAAGAAAAAAGAAAAAAGAUAUGGAGAUAAUGCCUUGAUUGCAGAACAAAAGUGAGCUAGUUUAUGAAGGAUGCAUGGCAUAUAGUAUGACCAUGGAAGUAUACAGGUGAUCAAUUGAAUAAACAACAAAUCAAACUCUUCCUGCACUAUUACACACUGGAGCACAGGCCCCUGAUUGUACAGGAUUAGAGAGUUAAUAUGCAAGUUUGUGUUAACAUAAAGAAACGAACAGUCAGAGAAGAAAGAGUUCUACAAAUGGAACCAUUCCAUGCUUUGAAGACACAUAUAGACCCUCUUUUAGGUUAACCAUAAUAAGCUAUAACAGGAAUUGAAAUAACACAAAUUAUAUAAGACAAAUAUUGGAUAACAUUAGAAGUUUCAAGCCUCUAAGUGGACAAGGAAAGUAGCAAACAGGUGGUGGACAAGAUAUAGUAGUAACACAUACAAAGAAUUCAAAUGUUGAUGAUCGCUUGCUGUGUUUUGUCACGUAUUGAAAGUAUAAAUAGGCAUAAUGAACAAAAAUCCUUCCAAUCUUGUUGAGCACAACAUGAUUUUUUUUAAUUAGCAUCCACAUAUUUGCUAAGCAGGAUUCAAAGACAAAACAUGUCAAUAAAAAUUAGAAUGGCUACAAAGGAAAUUUCAUAUUUUGAAAAGUCAGUCUAAAUUGGCUGCAAGUAGCAUUUAGGGCCAAACCGGAUAUAUCUAAGGGCGGUUAAUAUCACUUCCUUAUAGUUCUUAGAUAACUUCGAUAGACUGCAAUAUAAAUGGUAACCAUGUUCCACAUAGAUUAGCAUAAAACAUGAUUCAAUCUACAGAUAUGCUGUCAAAUUUAGGUUUCACUUUACUUGAACCUGACCUUUUGCUGUCAAGCAACAUCCCAAUAUUCCAAGUAAAUGACAAAAGAGCCAAAACCUAAAAACCAUGAUCCCGGACUAAGCAUUCAAACCUUACAUAUAAUUUAUAAAGGUAUGCAUAUAUAAGCAGCCAUCCUAGUACAAACGUGGAUCAAAACAUCAAAUUCAGUUAAUCCCUCAUGCUAACUCUUGAGACAACAUUAAAACAAGUAAAUAUAAUUUUCUGGGCCUUUUUCACCAAAGCCAAAUGUGUCUCCAGGCAUCUGCAAGUUACACAAGUCCAUGUUCAAAAUGAUGGUAUUCAUACACCAUUUGAAAAGUUAAUGUCGUGAUCAACUAUUUUGUCACUUCUAAUGAGGUAUGUGAACCUCUGUGGAAAGACAUGCAAAAACUGCAUAUGCUUGGUAAUCUUAUAUUAUCAUAUUAAGCAUUACUAGCAAGUAUAUAUGCUGAAAAGAAUAACUCUGGUCACGUCUACUAUCAAUUUAAUAAAUUUGAGGGUGUUUGCUAACAUGAAAUUUAGCUGAUUUCAGGUUAUUGCUUACAAGAGAAUAAUAUCAGAUGUCCAUCAAAGGCUCCAGACAAGGUAUAAUUAAGUAAACCAUCUCUAAGCUAAUUAAUACUCUGUAUGAGGUAUGCUUAAUUGUUGAUGAUAGAAUGUCCACAUAAGUUACGAUCCACAGUCAGAAAUAAACAUUAUAUUAUUAGAUAUAAUUAGGUGAAAUAACAAGCUCAGUUGCAUAGGUUCAUUAAUGCUUGUUCUACAGUAGUGCAUCAAUAUAUUUUAAAUUAAACUAUCUACAAGAAUAUACAGUACAUCAUUAAAUCCCUAGCAACGCAGACAGAUUUUUAAGGUGCUUGUGCUGCCUAUUCCAAUGUCUACAUUGUCAGUACAACACCACGAAAAAUAAGAAGUGACAUUUAAGAAACUUUUAUGGAUCCUUAAACUCUUUUACAUUGAGAGAUCCUAGAAUAAAGGGAAUAAGUUCUGCUCUUUCCAACAUCUCACUUAAAACAACUAAUAAUUAGUACACUAGUAAUUUACUAAAUAUCCAUAAAAUGAACUAAGAAUACAUUGCACUCCAUUAAUCUCAAACAGAAGAAAGAUGGAAAAGGGAUAGUAAUAGAAUAGUAUUAUCUUACCUGAUUCAGUAAAGUGCAAACACUGCAUUCCCACAUAGCUCUAUCUUCAGCACUAUCUGCCGUCCAAUUAGAAGAUGAAACACCAGAUACCGAUGCUCCACGAUAUCCAACGUCUGGUGAAGACCCAGUAGGUGCACCUUCAGUACCAGUCCGUAAUCUUUUGCCAGUCCCAUCUUUCUCACCAUGAGAAGAACCUGCUCCCCCAAUAUCCUUACUACUACUUUCUGCCACAGUAGGCAAAUCAUGCCAUCCAGAAGCACACCAUACAUCAUCAUACAAUCUCCUCUCCGCCGCCAUAGCGGCAGCUUGUAUAGGACUAAGAGCACUCAUUAUAUCAUUGUUCCCACCCAGCCGUCUUGGCCCGGAUGGCAUUAGAGCACUGCCACGUGCUCGCUUCUCUGCCGCGGCUAGUGCAGUUUGCCGAAGAGACGAGACCGGAGGUUGACGGGAAAAACCACCCAAUCGUCUCCCAGGAGCAUCGAAUCCCUGCCCUGUACCCGUUAUUCCCUUUGACAUAAGUUCCUCGCAUUCCUGCACCAUGUGAACCAAGUUCAACUGUCGCUGUGCACAUCCUUAUAUAAUGGCAUGAGGUGACUAGCACGAGGGAUCACACAACUUAUGGCAUACUAAUUUCUAGUUUAGUUCCUAGUUCCAACUUUUGGAUUUUUAUGUUUGGGUCCCUGUCCUUUGCAUUUCUUUGAAACAUUAUCCUUUUCAGUAUAAGAUCACUCCGACAGAAAUAUCCACAUAGUUGUUAUCUAAGCUUCACAUAAGCAACUUUCGACCUUCUCAUAUGGCAAUUACACAGGCAUUUGAUUUCCACAAGAAGAAACUUAAUGAAAAUGAUACGAUUGUAGAGGAAUGCAAGGUUAGUGACCAAACUAUAAUAAUUGAAAGGUCGAAACCAAACUAAAACAUUGUAUAAGGCCUGGGUGAAAUUUAGCCCCUUACAUGAUGAACCACACAGCAAAGAAACACAAAUGAGAAGCUACAAAUUAAGGGGGUAAAGUCAAAGAAAUAUUGAAGCAUCAUGCAGGCAACAAUCGUUCCUUUUCCCCUUCAUAUUCUAUCAACAAUUCAUCGUAAUUUUAUUGAAGCUUCACUACAAUAAGCGCAAAUCAGCACAGAAAUAAGAACUAGAAAGAGGACUUUGGGGCGGGAACCGCAAAAUCUAUUUCCUUUGAUGGUUAUCCAGAAACUUAUAACAAUCAGAGAAAGGAAAUAAAUAAAUAAAUAAAUAGAUCUUUACAUCUAUCAAACGUUACUACUUCAUUCAAACCCUAGCCGCCUCAUCAAGAUAGGAUUUUUAGGGCAAACCUUACGAAUUUCAUCCCAGAGCUUGUAAAAUUGGGCAUUAUGUGGCCCAUGCUCGAUGUGGCAGAGCUCGUGAAGCAUCGUGUCGAGAACCUGAUCGAAGGGGAAGAAGUCCCAAUCCCUAUUGGGUCUCCGCAGCCGCAGCUUCACCUCGGCGCCUCCCCCAACGUUCAGCCCUAGAAGCGACGGAUUCGCUGGGCUAUAGCGGAGACGAAGAGAUCACGAAGAAGAAGAAGACGAGGAAGAAGGAGAGGGAGGAGGAGGGAUCGCGUACCAAAACUCGGAGAGGAGCUUGACCCGCCAUUUGCGGCGGCGCAUGAUGGGCUCGACCUGCUUCGCGACGCGCUGGAGCAGGGCGCCCGCCUCCUCCUCGCCGGGCUUCUUGAGGGCUCUGAUCUCCCACACCUUGUUGAGGUCGCCGAGGUUCAUGGCGCUCGAGCGGGAGCGCGGAACCGCGAAAACCCUAACCCUAGAUCGAAGACGAUGGGGAGAAAGGGGGAAGGGGUUUUUGAAGGAGUGAUCGAGCGCGGGAGAUCGCUGGGGCGAUGCGUUCGUUUUUGUUCGAUCUCCUUCGUUUUUAUCUCGCGGGAAUCGAGGCUAAUGCUGCUUAGGCAACAAGCUGAGGGCAGAUUUGGAAAUUUGACCCCAAAAAUUUAAUUAUAUUUUAAUUUUUUAUUUUUUUAAAAAAAAAUCAUUCUAAUUACAUAUUUUAUUUCUGAAAAAUUAUGAAAAAUAUUUUGGCUUUUUGAAAAUAUUACUUUUAUAUAUUAAGUGAAAACAUAUAAAAUUUGCCUGAACUAUGGACUAUUUAAUUUAGUUACUUAAUUUUUUAAAAUUUUAAUUUUAUUAUCAAAUCUUUCAACUUAUUUUAUUUGAGUCACUCAGCAAUACUAAAUUUAAAUUUUGAAUAUAUUGUUUAUCUUUACAGAUUUUCUUUGUAUUAUUUAUACAAUAAUGUUCACAAUUAUGCAUUCAUUAAAAUAAAUAAUUAGCUUAAAUUUUGAAAUUAAAAUGCUGUUAAUUUACUCAAAUCAAACAAAAUUGUAUAUGAAAAUCAAAAUUUUAAAAGGUUGAAUAACUGAAUCAAAAUAGUCCACAGUUUAGAUACAUUUUGUAAUUUUUACCUAUAUAUUAUUGACGCAUUGCCAAGUAUGAGAUCAAAACUUUAGUUCCACGGAGGAUAUCAGAACAUACUAGUCAUCACUCAUCAAAGGGAGAGGUACAACGUUAUAAUAAAUCUCAUCUUAUUUUCUAUCCAUAUUAUUUUGUUAAAUUAUAUUUGUUUAGAUAAUUAAAAUUAAAGUUUGAAAUAGAGAUUUAAGAUUUGUAAUUCAUAAAUAUAUGGCAUACAAAUAUGCAAAUGCACUGGAUAUAAGCAAUUAUUUUUUUUUUCAAAAAUCAUGACACUCUCUUUGUAGGCUCUUUUUAGGUUUUGUUUUGUUUUUUUUUAUUUUUUGCUUCUUUCACUUUUGUUUUUUUUUUUCUUUACUUCCUUGUUACUUAUUCUCUUGCCUUUUCUUUUCCUCCCUCCAGGCCUAAGUGUUUCAUAUUUAUAGUUAAGUUCCUAUUUUUUAUAAAUAAAGCGGGUAUUGUAGUUGAGAAGUCUUAACUUAUUAUCACAUGCCAGUUUUAUUUUUAUUUAAAAGUUAUAAUCAUUCUCUCUAGGGUUUAAUUUUUAAAAAAAAUUUAAUAUUAAAAAUUAUCCAGUGUAAUUUUAAUAUGUGACGGCAGAUCGAGGGCUCCUUAAUGAGACAUUACUGAGAAGUUUCUCAAUAAAGUUUUAUCUGGCACGAUGCAUCGGAUCAGUAAUAAAAUUCUUUGGAAAUGGUUAGAGGUUAAUUGAAACACAACAUAUAUUUAAUCCAUUUGGACCAAAAUGGCCUUCUAUUUCGAAACAGUGACAUUUUGGUUCACAAAAUUUUGGUAGUGUUACCAUAUUGCACAUUGAGUAAAAUUUAGCUUUUUUUUUUUUUCUUCUAAUGGUAGUUAUAGAAUUCUGAAUUACUUUUAGUUAAAGAUUUAAAAAGUAUCAUCAUAGAUUGAAAAGGUACGUAGUUACAGAUGCAAGGUUCUAUUGAUUCUGAGUAUGAUUCAAAUGAACGCGAUCAACUGAUCUAGAUUGAGUAAGAAAACUAACGGUUUCAGAAGUAUACCGACUAAUCGACGGAUCGACGGCAAAACUACGGGACCACAAACUACCUUCAAAACAUAAAAUAUGGCGAUGUGUACGAAUUUCGGUUGAUUUGUGGGAAGUAUCUCUAGCUCACAGAAGUCGGCAACGACAUACUUCACAACGCCGAGUUUUCGCUAUACUCGGGGCACACAAAAACGUUAGUCGGCGGCGGAACUGCAUAAGUUGCCGACUCUAGUUUGGUCGCGCAUCGCGCGCCUUCUCGAAACCCCCCGAUAAAACCCGUCGUCGUCUUCUUCGUCCUCUUCGUCUCCUUCUCUUCUCCUCGCUUCGCCAUGGACGCACCUCCCUCCUCCUCCUCCUCCUGCGCCGGCACAGCUGCCUCCGCCACCUCCGCCGAGCGGCGCUCGUAGGGCUCCGCCGCGCGAAGCCGCCAUGGGGGGCGAGGGGUCUCGCUCGGCGAUUAGAGAGAGAGAGUUUGUUUCUGUGGAAAAUAUGCAUUGAGACCCCUCAACUACUCUUUCUUAUUGCGAAGCUCCCCCGUUUCUAAAGCAUGAAACAAUUAUGCGAUAGUCCUUAACCUAUCGCGAUAUUGUUACUCUGUCCUCGACCCAGAAAAACAUAGACUAUAGUGUUACGCUAUNAUCGACGACGAGUGGCUCGUCGUCUCCCUCCUCUACGCCGCGUCCCGCGCCGUGCCCUCGCUCUCGAUCAGCGUCUGGGACUCCGACGGCGAGUUCCUCCUCAUCGAGUCCGCGUUCGCCCUCCCGCGGUGGCUCAACCCCGAGUCGAGCGCCAACCGCGUCUUCAUCCGCCGCGGCGAGCUCCACAUCGUGCCCAAGGACCGGUUCCCCACGAACCCCUCCCUCGAAGACGCCCUAGAUGCCGUUCGGAGCGACGAGAUCGAGACCCGCGCCCCGGAUCCCGUCCAGGACGCGAUUAAUCGGCGAAUCGAAGGGUACCCCGAGCGCGCGAGGGAGAACAUUCAUCGGGUUACGGUUAGGGUUCCGCUCCCUGUCGCCCAGGUGUUAAAGGUGGAGCCUUGCUUGAUCUCGCUCGCCGUGGAGGGUUUCUACGACCGGGACGUGGACUCCAUGAAGCACGCGGCUCGGAUGGAGCGGUUCCUGAAGAGCGACAAUGGUGAGAUCGAGAUGGUUAGGGUUGCGGUCAUGAUGUCGAGGGCGAUGUACGCCCAAUUGGUGCAGCAGAGUUUUCAGGCACCGAAUUUGUAUCCGAUGCCGUCGAGGGAAGAGGGGCCUGCGGCUUACGGAGAAGCCGAAUUGGGAAUGAAAAUAGCUUGUGGAUUCGAGAUGAUGUACCAGGAAAGGCGCCGCUCCGGGGAGAAAGGCACGGGAAGCACUUGGGAAGUGUUCAGGAAGAGCUUGGAAAGCAGUGGGUGCUUUGAAGGGCUUCUUCCGGGAUCAAAAGAGUAUCAGAGGAUAAUGGAGGAUGCGUUCCAAUAUUACAAGAGCACUACUCUCUUCUCACGAACAAGGUAUUAUUUAUGUAAAAAUGUAUAUACAUUACUAGAGCUAUAGCACAUUUCAAAAUUGGCACCUGAAUAAUCUUACAGUAUGUGGAAUUUCCGUAAAGCAGUUAUGCAUGUUCCAUCAGGUAACGUAGUGUCUCGUUAAGCCCGUAUGCUUUUACCUGUUAUUUGUUUAGUAUUGAAACAAUCCUUUGGAGACAGAAGCUUGACGGAAAAGAGAGAGUCGACAUCCGGUGGGUGCUCUAAUCUUCUUUUUUUUUUUUUUUAAUUGAUAUAGGGAGAUAAUGAAUGCACCUGUUCGUCGCAUAGAUGAAAUUCUCUCUAUGCCCCACUCAGCUGAUGAUUUCAAAGGUAUCGAGCUUCCUCCGAAUGAUGACGAAUCAUGGCUGUAUAAUGGAGAAGAUGAGUUAAAUUUAGCUCUUCAAGAAAGGCAGAAGGAAAUGGAAGAGUAUGAGGCUGCAAAGAAGCAGAGAAAACUGAAGCAGAAGGCUGCUGAGAGUGGUUCCAAUUCGCUGACAAAUAAUUUCAAUGUUGGAGAUAUAUCAGAAAGUAUGCAGGAAUUUGUUCGAAAAGUUUCAAGCUUUCAGGGAGCUGAGGUUCCUGAAAACAGGUUCACUUUUAUGUCCAUCGGCAAUUCUUACUAGCCAGCUACUUAUAUCAUGCUUUAUUCAAGUCCAGAUCCUAAUCAAUUGCUUUAUUAUUUGAUGCUUAAGUUCCUUUCUAGUUCAUCUGCUAUGAAAAUCUGAAUUUUUUUUUUCUUUUUUUGACAUACGACUCAUACUAAGCAUGUGUUUAAGAUCGAACAAAGAAUUUGGACAAAUUCUUAUAAAAAGCAUUCAUAUCUAAACUGGACUUCUUCACUUAAUAAUAGUUAAUACAACUCAAAUCAGAUCCAAAGAGAUUCUAGUUGAUAUGAUUUGUCACUCCAAUUGUACAUGCAACUACACUGAGAUUGAUCCUUGUGCAUAUAGAUAGCUCUAGCCCUGUUGGACUGAAUACCACUUGAUUGUUAAUCGGAUUAGACCGUUAUCUGCACUUUGUGCUAUAAAUCAUCUUAUGUUGAAUGAACAUUUGAUUAUUUAGCUAAAAUGUGUUCUAUUCUAUCUCUUAAAUUGUCUCUAUUUUUCAUGUUGUUGCUGUUCUGCUCUUUCUGUUGUCAGUUUUUUCCGGUUGAGUUUUCUCCUUUAGGCACUCUUCACAAUUUUGAGCUGGUCUUAAGUCUGAGGUCAAGAAGAAAAACAUACUUUUAAUGACCUAAAUUUAUGACGAAUUUAAUUUCCUUUCUUGAAGAAAAUCAAAAGCAGUGGAACUUGAUGCAGACCAGUUCUUUAAGGCCAUGGAAUCUGUGUUAGGAGGGAUAUCACACGAAGGAGCUGCUGGGGAUGCUGAUUUUGAAGGAGCCUCGUCAUCAUCUGAUAUGGAAUUUGGUAUUUUUCUUCAUUGUCCUUCCAAUGCUCAAUUAUGCUUUUUCUCAUUCUAUUUUCUUUAUGUGUUUAUUAGUUGGCAUUUUUUCAGUUGGGCAGAGUUUUAGCUAUUUUAAAGGCCUUAAUGUUGAUUAAGUCACUGACUUACUGGAACCAUAUUUGUUGUUUUCACUAUGAUAUUUCGUAACCCUUAAUUUUGCAAUUAUUUGUGUAUUACAUAUUUACAUAGCCUUCUUAUGAAGCAAAUGAUUUAUCUGCUUAGCAUAAUGGUAAUUUCCUCGCUACCUUUUGCUGGUAACACUUAAUAUAGGAUGUUGAGUAUUAGUGGGUGCAGUGCAUAAAUCCUAUCUAUAGACUAUACAAUAAAUUUGAAAUGUGUCUCUUAGGAGAGUAAAGAAGAUUUGAUAUGUUGUUAAUUAACUAAGGAGCUUUUUGAGGAUUCGUCAACAUUUGUUGUCGACAUUUAUUUACCAAUCAGAAAAUAUGUGGAGGCAUCUGUUGAUUACCUUGCGUGGUACUUUAAAGUAUUAUAUUUAUUCUGGCAUACUACAUUCUGAUUAGCAUUUCUACUGUUGUUACUUUUUCACCUUAUUUUCGUGGUUGGGCUAAAACUGCAGCCUUGGUAUCUCACCUUGUACUGAUAGCUACAAUUUUGCAGAUGAUUCUGAAGAUGGAAGUGAUUUCGCUGAGGAAGGUGGUGACAAGGACAAUGAGGAUACUUUUAUGCAGUCAUAUACUGAUGCCUUGAAUAAAGAGCUAACUUCAACUACCCUUGGAAAAAGCUUUGUUCGUGCAGAGCGCUCCAGCAACGAGAAUGAGGUGAUCUUUCAUUAACUUUCUAUUGCAAUUCAGGCCCAUCUUUGAAGACAUUCCUUUUUUUUUUUCUGAGAGAAUGAGGUGAUCUUUCAUUUACUUUCUAUUGCAAUUCAGGCCCAUCUUUGAAGACAUUUCUGUUUUUUUUUUGACAUUUAAUGUUUGGUUGAAAACAAUGUUAAAUACCAAUGUCGAUUUACUUACAAAUUGUUCUGGAUUAUGUCUCUCAUCUAUCUUUUUUUCAAAAACCUCAACCCAUUGUUUAUUUAUUUAUUUACUUACUUAAAGAUGCAUGAUUUUGGGUAACUACUUACCUUUUCUGAAAUGGUCUUCAAAUUGUGAAUGCAGAUUUUUUUUUUUUUUUAAAUUCAUUGUUCAUUCAUAUUAUUUAGUCAGAGUAUUCUCUCGUAUUUGCUUGCUUGAAACUGAGUUAAUACGUACAAUGCUACAAUUUCGUGCAGUGAACUUAAAUAGGUCUUGGAAACCCUAGUAUUUUCUGCGUUUCCCUUCUAUUUUUGUAGAUUUUAAAAAAUAUUUUUAUUGUAGCUUAUUUGGACCAUAUACAUCUGCCAACUGUAUGUGGUCCAUUAUUGCAUAUAUACCAUUACUGCCUUCUAGAGCAUUCCAAAGAAAACCCUAAUAUUUAUUAUUAGUAAUUCUUCGUGCCAAUAUUCAUAAUUAGUUACAUGUCUUUUUUAUAUUUAUUUUAAUCACAUUAAAUGUUGGUGUUGUCCAGGGGCCUUCAAAUGCCACGGAGGACAUGGAUGAGGAGUUAACUCCUGUUGACGUCGAUUUCAACCUGGUGAAAAACUUCCUCGACUCGUUUUCUUCACAACAAGGCCUCCCGGGCCCGGCUUCGAACCUCCUUGGACUCAUGGGUGUCAAUGUCCCCCCUGAUGCUAAAAAGGAGUAAUUACACCGCAUGUGAAGCAAACACGAAGCUACGGCACUAACAAAGUUAACAUCAAUUUUGACUAUGCCGCAAGACCGAGUUCAUCCUGCAGUAUGAGGUCAGUGCGGAAGUUGAUUUUAAAGUGUUGUGAGUAUUUAAACUCUAUAUAAUAUGAAAUUUAAAUGAGCUUCUCAGCACUGUAGAAGUUUUCAUGGCUACAUGUGGGCAAAAUAUUUAUAGAGAUGAUAAGAAGAUAUGGCGCUGAGGACAUUGUUUUCGACCUUUUUUUGAGAUAAAAAGUCGAGUAUAAUCAGCUUAUAAUUAUGCAUACCCUGUUUAGCAUGUUUCUUUCAUUUGCUCAAGAAGCUUGUAGUAUUUAGUAGAUGAACAGCAUGAUCAAAUGUCUAGAAAGUUAUACUAUAUUCAUCUUUCAAUUUUAUUUUUUAUAAUAAGAUAGAUCAGCUCGGAGGUGAAAUACAACAUCGUAUUAAAUCAUUGUUUGCCAUAUUGAUUAGGCCUGUGUAAAUAUGAAGCUACUUCAUAUUGAUGCAACCCUUGAUCACUGAUUGUUGUGAAUGAUUACUACAGAACAGAUCGUGUUCUCCUCUUUGUAUUGUAAUGUUCCAUUAAUGUUUACGUUUAGAAUGUUGAUGGUUUUGUUUUCGUUACUCUUUCACUCUGGAACAUAUAAACCAUGUCAUAGCAGGUUUUGCAUAUUAUCGAAAUAAAUUAGUCAUUUUAAUCUAGAUUCUACUUUCAUGUAGUAUUGAGAGAGGGCACGACAUUAUUCAGGAAUAAAGAUGGUUUUUUUCCACAAAGAAUUUUUCGUAAUGUGGUAUUCAUCUUUAUCUCAUUUACCUUCGUUGUAUGAAUUAGUCCUCAAAAAGUUUUUUGUUUUUGUUUUUUUGUUUUUUUUUUUUUUUCUCUUCAAACAUGAGAAGUAGAAAAAAAAAAAAAGAAAAGAAAAAAUAUUAAGCAAUUGGUUAAGGAGGUUGAUAGUUAGUACUUGAAGUUUUAAUUUUGAAACUUAGUUUAUAUUUCUAUCCGAAUUCAUUUAAAAAAAGGGAAGAUAGUGAAUUGUUUACCACCUUCUAAAAAAAGAAAAAAAUAAUAUCAACACGAGACCAAGAUAACAGCGACAGUGGCCAAGAACUACACGAUAAAAAUUAUGAAUUUUAGAAAUCCAUUUUAUUACGUUUAGGAUUGCAAGCGAAUUGUGUCAUAUUUUGAUUAUUUAUAAGGGUAAAUUUUAAAUACCAUCCCUAUGGUUUCGCGUUUUCUCAUUUUAGUACCAUGUGAUUUAAAGUGUGUCAUUUUAGUAUCCCGUGAUUUUAUUUUUCUCUUUCCGUCAGUACCUCUCUUAACUCUCUAUUAAAUUAUAUAGAAAAAGUUUUAGAUUUCUCACCUACGAUUUAUCAAAUGUUUACUUUACUGUGGUUUACCAAAUUUUCACUUUAAUACCUAGUGGCUUUAACUUUAUCACUGAUUUAACAAAAAAAUUAACAUAUGGAAUAACGAAAAGAGAAAAAUAAAGUUAUAGGAUAUUAAAGUGAUAUAUUUUAAAUAGAAAACUUCAAAAACCCCCCUUGUGGUUUCAUUUUUUUUCACUUUAGUAUCCUGUGGUUUAAAAUGUAUCAAGUUAGUACCCGUGGUUUCUCACUAUAUCACUUUAGUACCCUGUGGUUUAAAGUGAUCAGUUUAGUACCCUGUGGUUUUGUACUUUAUCACUUAGUACCUGUGGUUUUAAUUUGUAUCAAGUUAGUACCCUGUGUUUUUUAAAUAGGGUACUAAAGUGAUAAAGUGUGAAACACAGGGUACUCAAAGUGAUAAAGUGCAAAACCAGCAGGGUACUAACUUGAUACACUUUAAACCACAGGGUACUAAAGUGAUAAAGUGAGAAACCACAGGGUACUAACUUGAUAAACUUUAAACCACAGGGUACUAAAAUGAAAAGUGUGAAACACAGGGAGGGUUUUGAAGUUUUCCUAUUUUAAAUUAUAGGUAUUAAAUGAGAAAGUGUGAACCACAGUUGCUAUAGUUGUCCAUAAUAAUGUUUUAGUGACUUUAAAUAAAAUUCUAUAUAUGAAACUUAGAGGCCUUUUAAAUGUCACGCCGUCCUAGCUCACCGGUAGAGCGCACGGCUUUUAACCGUGUGGUCGUGGGUUCGAUUCCCACGGACGGCGUUUUUUUUUUUUUCGUUUUUUUAAUUUUAAAUUAUAAUAUAUAUAUAUAUAUAUAUAUAUAUAUAUAUAUUGAAAUUAAAAAAGAAAAACAAGUGAAGGAAAUUUUUUGGAAGCUACGUGAACUUUGGUUCGAUUACCAAUUUCUCAAAAUAUAAAUAAUUAAAUAAAUUACUGUUUAAGCUUUUAAAAUAAUCGAUUGUGUCGCCUAAUAUCACGUAGUGUCAAGGAAACGCGCGGCUCUUAAUUUUUUUAAAUUUUUUCUCUGCCAAACACCAAUUGUGUUAUUGGGUGUUAAUUAUAACAAAACUUCAAAAUAGGUUUUUUGUCUUUUUUUUUUGUUUACUUUUUGAGUUGUUCGAGACUCAUUCGUUAAAGACAUUUAGAAUAUAUAUAAAAAUAAUUUAAACUAGAUGACUGAUUGACGUAAAGAACUUGAUGAUUGGUACUCGCGAUUAUAAGUUCGAAAUUUAAUUAUUUUAUAUUUAUAACUAAGUUUAUGUCUGAAAAAAUUGGACAAAUGUAAUAGGAUGCUACCAUACAUUAUCUCUCUCUAAAAAAAAAUCAAACGAAAAAUAGUUACUUUCAAUCGUGUAAUUAAUUUUCAAUCAUGUCAAAAUUUAUUUAUUAUUACAACUGUAUACAACCAAACAGCCCACACAACGUACUGUGAUUUACACCAACUAAGAUAACAUUCACAUGUUUACUGCUUUAUUAACUACAGUGGUAAACCCAAGAAAAGGACUCUCUUUUGUGGCUUCAAUUAAUUCUCUCUUUUUUUUUUUUCUCCCUCUCUUUCUCUCACUUUAUUUUUAUUUUUAUUUUUUAUUUUUUGGGGGCCUUAUGUGUAUAUAUACGUAAUGGGAAAGGGACUCUUCUCCCCACAGGUUUUUAAUUCUUGCCAUGUUUGUGUCAUUUGAUUGAUUGGUUGCUAUCUUGUUGUUGGCCACCUCUUGCACUUUCUCCAUCACCUCAUCAUCCCCACCACCAUGUAUUAAUGCAACUCCAUAUAAAACCCUAACUCUAACCCUAACCCUAACUUAAAUUGAGGAGCACUUCAUUUGAAGUACUCAUGUUCUCACUUAAGAACUAUUAGAGUGGUUUUAAGUAGAUUUAUUAUGUAAAUUUGGGAGCCACAAUUAAUACUUUCAGUUUUGCUGAUUAGAUUUGAAUUCAUAAUUUUUUACUCUGAUGUUAUAUUGAUGUUAUAUGAAAUGAUCGUUUGUCUUUAAAAGUUUGAACUGUUAGAUAAUAAUGUUUUUACUAUUUAUAUUCAACAGUUAAAAGAAAUAAGCUCUGCGAAGCUAGAUUAUACGGCAGGCUAUUUAUGUAGAGUUAUGAGAAACAAUUAAUUUGUUAUAAGAAAUGUUCUUCUGCAAUAUGAUCAAUCCUUUGAUAGUUCUAUAUGACAUUUUACUAACUUUAUAUCGACAAAGAUAUUAACAGUAUAUAAAAACACUAUUUUAGAAAGUAAAUUAUAGCACUAUUUUUUACAAAGUCGGACCAAAAUAGACGCAACACGCUAAAUCAUAGAGGUCACAAUAGAUCCUUCCCGUGUUGAAAAUAUAUAUGACAAUGAUGUAGAGGGACAGUUUUGUUGGAGCACUACUACUGUAUUUCAUUAUAUUGUUCUUAUAUAUUAUUAAUGUAUUUAUCAGACGGUAUACAUAGGUUAGCUGAUAUUCAUCGUGAAGGCUAGGAAUGUAAUCUUAAGUUGUUUCCAACUAUAGAUCUUGUGGGUAAUAUAAAUAAAUUUAUAUGCAUUAUGCUACUUUAAACUGCAUGCUGGUGUUGGUAAAAUAGUGAAUAUUUUAUAUAAUACCAUGAAUUAGGAAGUUUUGUCAAUCUCCUAAUUAAUCCAAGUGGGUGAGUAAUAAAUUUAUCAUUCAAAUAUAUAUAUAUAUAUAUAUAUAUAUAUAUAUAUAUAUAUAUGAACUAAGCUGGAAUACUAUUAAUAGCACUAAUAACUUGAUGCUAUUAAGUUUUAUGCCCUUGAAUUAAAAAAUAUGUGGUAAGGAUGAUGUGGCCCCCCUAGGGUUGAGUGGGUAGUUGGUUGAAUAGUAUAAUCGAACGGAUGAAAAUGAUAAAAGAGAUAAAUAUAACGGCAGAAAACUUGAUAGCACCAAAUCCUUCGUGCUAUCGACAGUAUCCCAGUCGGACUCUCUCUCUCUCUCUCUCUCUCUCUCUAUAUAUAUAUAUAUAGGCUGGAGUAUUAUACUUUUAUGAGUAUAGGCCCCUUUGUACUCAUAAAUUUUUAACCGUUAAUUGAUGAGAUGUGUAGUUAGGAUGAUGGUGGUCCCCACUUAGAAUGAUAGUGGUCCCCUAAGAUUGAGUGGGUAGUUGGUUAAAUAGUAUGCUCUAACGGAUAAAAACGAUCAAUGGAAUAAAUCUAAGGGCCGAAAACUUAUGAGUAUAAGGAAGCUAAUACUCAUAAAAGUAUAGUAGCCGGACUCUCUCUCUCUCUAUAUAUAUAUAUAUAUAUAUAAUAUAUAUAUAUCAUUUUAUAAUAUUUUUAAAAUAUAUAAUUUUAACAUUUUUAAAAGAUUAUAGCUAGUAAUUCAUAUAUAUCAAGCAGUAUAUAUAUUGGGGCCUCAAAGCCCUCAAUGAAUCAAUAAUGGAGAGGCCGGGGUUGUGGGGUUAGGGAUGCAAAUGGAUUCGGAUUGCCUGUUAGAGCUCCCGUCCCAAAUAGAGCAGUAAAUGAAAAUCAUAAAUAUAGAAAAAUCAACCUGUUCUGAUCCACUUGAUCCGCAUCGAUUGGAACGAUAAGUAUGGGGCCACAAAUAAGACUAAAAUUAAUCCGUCUCGAACAUGUCCCAACCUGAUAGGCUGAUACAAAAUGGAGUGAGAGGUGGGGUAUCUCUCCCGCCCCUGGAUCCGCCCAGUUUGCAUCUCUACUGGAGGUGGCAAUGAUUUAAAACAAAAACGGUGCCAUGAAACACUACAACAGAAUUAGGUUAUAGGGACACAUAUUUGGGACAUUUUGAGUAAGUGUCCUAUUUAUCCUAAAACAUAAAAAAAUAUCUACUAAUUCCUAAAUAUAAAGCCCAAUCCAACCAAAAAUAAAAUAUUACUCUACUCAACCCACCGCACCCAGUUCAUUUGGCUCGAUUACAAACAGAAAAGAAAAAAAAAGAAAAAUUAAUUACCAUCUUUUUUUCUCUCUUCACUCAAUCCACUGAAAUUCUAGACGAAGAGCCUUUCCUGUCGUCCUCCUUCGCCACCGCAGCCAACAAGAUAGAGUUUCGGCGGUUGCUAAAUGCUUAAAUAAGUGUUGAUAAAUUAGCAGCACUCUUUUAGAUUAUAGCGACACUCUUUAACUGUCACUAUAUACCUAGCAACCCCAUAUAUAGCAACAUUUUUUAAAAGUGUCGGUAAUUUUAGCUAGCAGUAUUUUUUUGACAUCUAUCUAUAUUUAAAAGUGUCGCUAUAGACCGUUUUUAUUGUAGUGAAACGAUCAGUGGUGACACGGGUCACAACUC